GGCUCCUCGUGGAUGCAAAGAUGGGGAGUCGGACCUGCCCAGUGAAUUUUUUAACGGCCGCGGUACUCUGACCGUGCAAAGGUAGCAUAAUCAUUUGCCUUAUAAUUGAAGGCUAGUAUGAAUGGUUUGACAAGAGUAUAGCUGUCUCUUUAUGAUUCUAUAGAAUUUUAUAUUUAGGUGAAGAAGCCUAGCUAUGAUUAAAAGACAAGAAGACCCUAUCGAGCUUUAAAAGAACAAAUAGGAUAAUUUAUUUAUAAUAUUAAAAAGUUUUCUAUUAAAUAUUUUAGUUGGGGCGACUUAGGAACAAAGGAAGCUUCCUUUAAAUUGAAUUAUUAAUAGAUAAAGAUCCAAAAGUUUUGAUUAAAAGAAUUAGCUACCGUAGGGAUAACAGCAUUAUCUUUUUUGAGAGCUCUCAUCGAAAAAAAGGUUUGUGACCUCGAUGUUGGACCAGAAUAUCCCAAAGAUGCAGCAGUCUUUAAAGGUUGGUCUGUUCGACCAUUAAAAUUCUACGGGCUCUUUGUAAAAUAAAAAUAGGGAGUCGUACCUGCCCGGUGAAUUAUUUUAACGGCCGCGGUACUCUGACCGUGCAAAGGUAGCAUAAUCAUUUGCCUUAUAAUUGAAGGCUAGUAUGAAUGGUUUGACAAGAAUAUAACUGUCUCUUUUUAAUUGAUUAAAAUUUUAUUUGCAAGUGAAGAAGCUUGCAUGUGAUUGAUAGACAAGAAGACCCUGUCGAGCUUUAAAGAAAUUGGUGGAUUAAAGUUAAUAGAUUUAGAAAAUAUAACUGUUGUAUAUUUUAGUUGGGGCGACUGAGGAACAAGUAAAGCUUCCUUUUAUAAAAAUGCAAAUUAGCAAUGAGCCAAAAAAUUUUGAUCAAAAGAAUUAGUUACCGCAGGGAUAACAGCAUAAUCCUCUUUGAGAGUUCAUAUCGAAAGGGGGGUUUGUGACCUCGAUGUUGGACCAGAAUAUCCUAAAGAUGCAGCCGUCUUUAAGGGUUGGUCUGUUCGACCAUUAAAAUUCUACG
RNAcentral lists this ribosomal RNA (1021 nucleotides) under Latirus polygonus. Its description in RNAcentral is "partial 16S ribosomal RNA". The stretch from base 1 to 586 matches the Rfam family "Bacterial large subunit ribosomal RNA", at positions 1817 to 2925 of the family's 2925-position model. The record is from RNAcentral. Lineage: Eukaryota; Metazoa; Mollusca; Gastropoda; Neogastropoda; Fasciolariidae.